This 301-nucleotide ribosomal RNA is filed under the name uncultured bacterium. Its description in RNAcentral is "partial 16S ribosomal RNA". It matches the Rfam family "Bacterial small subunit ribosomal RNA", at positions 509 to 807 of the family's 1533-position model. The record is from RNAcentral.
CAGCCGCCGCGGUAAUACAGAGGGUGCGAGCGUUAAUCGGAUUUACUGGGCGUAAAGCGUGCGUAGGCGGCUUUUUAAGUCGGAUGUGAAAUCCCUGAGCUUAACUUAGGAAUUGCAUUCGAUACUUGGAAGCUAGAGUAUGGGAGAGGAUGGUAGAAUUCCAGGUGUAGCGGUGAAAUGCGUAGAGAUCUGGAGGAAUACCGAUGGCGAAGGCAGCCAUCUGGCCUAAUACUGACGCUGAGGUACGAAAGCAUGGGGAGCAAACAGGAUUAGAUACCCCGGUAGUCCCUGUCUCUUAUAC